RNAcentral lists this ribosomal RNA (433 nucleotides) under uncultured bacterium. RNAcentral describes it as "partial 16S ribosomal RNA". It matches the Rfam family "Bacterial small subunit ribosomal RNA", at positions 29 to 507 of the family's 1533-position model. The record is from RNAcentral.
AACGAACGCUGGCGGCAUGCCUAACACAUGCAAGUCGAACGAGACCUUCGGGUCUAGUGGUGCACGGGUGCGUAACGCGUGGGAACCUGCCCUUAGGUUCGGAAUAACUCCCCGAAAGGGGUGCUAAUACCGGAUCAUGUCUCCGGACCAAAGGUUUAUCGCCUUUGGAUGGGCCCGCGUUGGAUUAGCUAGUUGGUAGGGUAAAAGCCUACAACGGCGACGAUCCAUAGCUGGUCUGAGAGGAUGAUCAGCCACACUGGGACUGAGACACGGCCCAGACUCCUACGGGAGGGAGCAGUGGGGAAUAUUGGACAGUGGGCUAUAGGCUGAUCCAGCAAGGCCGCGUGAGUGAUGAAGGCCGUAGGGUUGUAAAGCUCGUUUACCCGGGAUGAUAAUGACAGUACCGGGAGAAUAAGCUCCGGCUAACUCCGUG